This 234-nucleotide small RNA is filed under the name Theobroma cacao (cacao). Its description in RNAcentral is "sRNA Tc06v2_g006350". The record is from RNAcentral. Lineage: Eukaryota; Viridiplantae; Streptophyta; Magnoliopsida; Malvales; Malvaceae.
CAAAGAAAAAGUGUGAUUUUUCAAGGAAUCAAGUGUUUAAAGGUGGUGAGCUAUCUGAUACGGGUAAAAGACUACACCCGAGGACCGAGAAUAGGAGUAUAUCUACUCCUAGUACAGCUCAGAAUAGGCAGUAGACUGUCAAUUGCAUCGAGAAGUAAAUUUCGGAGUUGCAUCCUAGAAAGCAAGGUUAUAGACUUAAACCUUCUCAGUUAUUUGGGGGCCUACGUGUCAUUA